UACGUAGGGGGCAAGCGUUGUCCGGAUUUAUUGGGCGUAAAGAGCGUGUAGGCGGCCAGGUAGGUCAGCUGUGAAAACUCGAGGCUCAACCUCGAGACGCCGGUUGAAACCAUCUGGCUAGAGUCCGGAAGAGGAGAGUGGAAUUCCUGGUGUAGCGGUGAAAUGCGCAGAUAUCAGGAAGAACACCCGUGGCUAAGGCGGCUCUCUAGGACGGUACUGACGCUGAGACGCGAAAGCGUGGGGAGCGAACAGG
RNAcentral lists this ribosomal RNA (253 nucleotides) under uncultured bacterium. RNAcentral describes it as "partial 16S ribosomal RNA". It matches the Rfam family "Bacterial small subunit ribosomal RNA", at positions 524 to 776 of the family's 1533-position model. The record is from RNAcentral.